AUGAGCCAUGAUCCAAAACCUGCGAAGAUGCAAGAGCCAUGGGGCUCGACCCGCCAGAAAGGAGGAUCGAGAAGAACCCAUUGUAGAUCUCCAGACGCCGAAACCAGCGGUCCGACGUGGCCAGUGACGACCAUCACCACCCCGCGGCGGCCGACGGAGUCCAAAGACAGGAUCCAGAUGGAUCCGAUCUGGAUCCGUCGGCACCCGCGACCACCGGGCAGGCCCAACGCAGCCACCACCUCACAAUACGAAGGCCACCACCGCCGCGCCGCACACGACGCCGCCCGGAGGCCCGCCCGCCGCGCCGCCGAACCCCACGUUCGCCCGGUGCUCCUCUCGACCCCGCUGUCCCACGCCAACCAAGACAAAAAAGGAUGGGGAGAAGCCCCGCCGCUGCCCAGCCGGCCAGGCUUUGCCCGACGGCGCCGCAGACGCCGGCGAGGAGGGAGAGGGGCGGAGGAGGUGCGAGAAGUGGCGGCUAGGGUUCCCCCCGGGUCAUAUACACAAAAGUACCAUGAUUUGUUUGCAUUUUCCUUCGAUGCCCCCUCCCUGAACACUACCGCCUUGCCGACCGACCGACCGACCGAUCCCUCUAGUCCCGCCCACCCGGCCCGGAUCCAGCCCCAACCCACCACCACCAGCUCCACUUCCCUCCGGUUUCCGCCGCCCGCCGAAGCCGCCCGCGGCCGGGCGCGCCCUUUCCUCCCUUCCCGCGCGCUGGCCGUGGCCGGCCUGCUCCUCCUCUCUUCGUCCGGGGCCCCGGGUCGUGCCUUCUGCCCCGCCUCGCCUCCUCGCGCCUGGUUUGGAUUCGCUCGCCCUCGAUUCGCCGUCCGUUUAGGUUUAGAACUGCGCCUGAUUGGGUUUCUGCUCGUGCUCGAUUCGUCCGUCUGGAAUUGCGCCCGGUUUGAUUUUGCUCGUCCUCGCCGUCGUCUGCUCGGGGUCGCGCCCGGUUUGACUUUGCUCGUCCUCGCCGUCGUCGUCUGUGUGGAGUCGCGCCCGACGCGCUCGCGUGUUCUUGGUCCGUCUCGCCUCGUCGGGGGUCUCCGUCUCGAUUCUUUUAUCCGAGAGGCACUCCGGGUCCUGGGUUCCGUGUUCGCGUCGGUUGCAGGAACGAACGAGGUUCCUUCUAUUCUUCCUGAUGUUGCUAUUUCCAUUCAAGUACUCAUAGGAGUUCUAGAUGAGCUGCUGCUAAGACACUCACAAAGUUAUGAUCCUGCGUUUCGUGUUUGCGGUGGAGCGAUGAACGAUUACGUUUCGUGUUCCUGCAUUUUGUGUUCGCCGUCUGGUUUUGAAUGUGGAUUACGGAGACGGGGAGAGGCCAGCAAGGUAUUAGCUACCAUCAAAAAAAAUGUACAAAGAAUUCCUGCAUCAUGCUUGUCAUCUUGUGAAAGAAAUCCUCAAGUGAAUUUACUGCUGUUCCAGUGUCUUCAUGUUGUAGUGAUUAGAGAGAAGGUUGCAGAACUGUAUGAAUCUGAACAACAAUGGUUGAGAGCAGCACAAAUGCUUAGUGGCAUUGACUUGGACUCAGGAAUCAGGUUGAAACAAGCUUUUGUCUCUGUUUACAUGUCAUUGGAUUUUCUAAGUCUGGGAAAUCUGACCAUCUUCUUAAAAACCAGGAUGCUUGAUGACACAAACAAAUUAUCCAAGUGCGUCCAGAUUGCACGACUCUAUUUGGAGGAUGAUGAUGAUGUAGUGAAUGCUGAAGCCUUUAUCAACAAAGCCUCGUUUUUGGUCACAAACAGCAACCGGGAAAUUCUGAACUUACAAUACAAGGUUGUUCCUGGCUAUGGUCAUGGAGUUCUACGUAAUACAGACCCAAGAUACUCGUGCCAAAGGGAGUUCACAUUGAAAUAUUUACUCAAGGACCCACUUUUCCAACUGCCAUGUGGAUCUGGACAUGAUGCUAAGGACACUGAUGGGUUGGGUUUGCAUACAAUGCAGAUGUGCUGUAUCCAUAACUACCUAUUGGCACCUGAUAUUUGUGCUCAAAAUGCAGUAUGGACCAACAAAAUGGUCUCAUUGCAAGAAGAUGAUUGGACUAUCGAGGAGGAACAUGCACUGAUUAAUGCCCAUCAGGUAUAUGGGAAUAGAUGGGCAGAAAUAGCAAAAGUUCUUCCUAGAAGGAAUCGGGUACUUCUAUUUGUUCUCAGGUUCUUCUCACCUAUAGCUAAAGUCAAAGACGACAAACCAAGUGGAUUAUUGAAGUUGCAAGAUGCACAUAAUCAUCGACUGAAUCCUAGAUUCCUUGAUAACUUUGAUCAUAAACUGAUUCCCAAGCUAGCCAUUGGCUUGGAAGCGAUGAGAGGCAAUCACUGUUGUCAACUUGAAACUAUGUAG
This 2337-nucleotide ribosomal RNA is filed under the name Triticum aestivum (bread wheat). RNAcentral describes it as "partial small subunit ribosomal RNA". The record is from RNAcentral. Lineage: Eukaryota; Viridiplantae; Streptophyta; Magnoliopsida; Poales; Poaceae.